Long non-coding RNA from Ictalurus furcatus (blue catfish), 5449 nucleotides. RefSeq lists it as uncharacterized. The transcript has 3 exons. The record is from RefSeq and is a predicted model, not a curated record. NCBI's taxonomy places the organism in Eukaryota, Metazoa, Chordata, Actinopteri, Siluriformes, Ictaluridae.
AUAAUAUUUACAUAUUUACAUAUGAUUUAAUAGCUUAUUUUAAUAAAUAUCAGAAAUCUAAAAGGUGUGCAUUAUAGCUGACACCUAGAUGAACACUUUACAGUUGGUUAUAUGACUGUAAGUCAUUCCCUUCAAAUGCUAUUGAAGUUAGAAACGUGUUUAACAAUGUCGUAUGUAACUUUAGAGACGGUCCUUUAAUUUCCGCACAUCUGCGAAUAUCGAACGUCUAACGUCAAACCAACUUUAUUCCAGUACACGACGUGCUCUUAUGAUGUUAUGUUAAUAAUCGACGAACAAUAAGGACAUUUUAUAUAAACAAAAGACUAUUUUAUUUGAAAAUUGGUUUCGAAAUAAUAUUCUACCGGUGGACCAGUUGUUUAAAUACAGUUGGUUUACUCUUCACAUACAGUAUGAUAAGAUUUUGAAGCGUUAUAAUAUUCCUGUACCACCAGGGGGAUUUUCAAAGGUCUCUGGUGCAAUCCCUGCGCGAGUAUGCAUUCUUUUUGUUUUGUUUGUAAAUGCAGAAGAUAUUUUAAUGCAAACACUGCCUCAUACUGCUGAUUACACAGGUAGAUGUUGACUUGCUACAGUAUGACAUUGCAGGCUGUCGCACCUCCUUUGAUGCCCAUGUACCUAACGCAUCCAAACCAUAUCGGCUCCCCAGUGAUUAAGGGUGUAGCAACCCCACUGGCACUGUUAAUGCAUGCUCAAUGCCACUGGUUGCACAUGGUUUCCUCCUGUUACACCUAAUACCACUCAGACAUUCUUGCCUAACGCAAUACCUUCAGACCUACAGACCUUCCCAGUGACUCAGGGCAUGCUCAGUGCAACAGGUUCCAUAUGGCAUAGGUCAGCUGCAGGGUCAUCAUCCGGGUACCACCGCUCAACAAUGUUUCGCUCCUUUAACCCCAGAAAGUCUACGGGUGGCGGAGCACUGGCAGGGACGUCAACUGCAACUAGACCUUGGGUAAGAUGUUACUACCCCAGCACUUCUCCUUUCUCUUCAUCCAGAGCCUGUAAAUAACAGGAAGUCCUGAUGUAACUGUGCAUUGCAAUGGGCUGGCACCCUCUCCAUUGUCGCCCCCCCCAUGUGCCCCGAGUUCCCUGGGACAGGCUCCAGGCUCCUCUGCGACCCUAUGCAGGGUAAGCGGUCUUGAAAAUAGAUGCAUGGAUGUUCAUCUGGCAUGUGUUUGAUGAACAUGUGAAAUGUAAAUAGUAAAGUAUAAAGAGUAUCUCUCCCUCUUACUCUCUCUCUCUCACACGCACACACACACACACACACACACACAAUCCAACAUAAAUACAUUGCACUUUGUUUUGCAAAAAAACAAACAAAACAAAACAUAAAUGUUGUUUUGUUUUGUGUUUUUAUGUUGUGACAUUUAGGUAUCUAUCUCAAAUUAUCUUAAAAGGUGCUCCAGUAUUUGUAGAUGCUAAACAAAUCCCAAAGCAUCAGUUUUAGCCCUUUAAUUUCAAUGCUGGAUUCUACUCUAAUUGCUAGUGCAGUGUUGAUCUAUGUUUUUUUACUGAAAUUAUUUGCAAAGUGAUUAUUGUUGCUCUCAAAAUGCAGUAAAAUGCAUCGAUUUAUGCUAUAGUCUUCAAAAACUUCUCUGUAAUUUAGUGGGGCUGGGACUAAUUACCUUGGUAAAAAUCAAGGCUACAGCCCUGUGCACUGGAAGAUCAGAAUCAAAGUUGUACUAAUGUGUAGCACUUCUACUCGGUUGGGUUUGGAAUGAGGAGGUGAGAGGCAGGCUGAGGACAACUUUAUUCUCUUUAUUUUUACUUUCACUUUUCAGCUCACUCAUUCAGACACACACACACACACACACACACACACACACACACACACAUACACACACACACAUACACACACUUUCAGGGUUUUGGCAUCAGUGUAGCACUCCUCCUGGGUUGGGCCAGGAAUGAGGAGGUGGGAAGGCUGAGGACAACUCAAAAGGGCUCUUUUUUCUCUUUAUUUUUACUUAAAUUUUCAGUGGACACAGUCAAAGAAAGGCACACAAACACACACAUAUAAGGCUUUGUGCUGGUCUGCUCUCUCUCUCUAGGCUCUCAUCUCUCGCUUCCUUAUCCCUUCUGUUGCUCACUGCAACACAGAACAUUCAUUAGCUAAACCAGAGAAAGAAGAUAAAAAUAUCCAGGUGAGCAAGCAGAUACACCUUCAUGCCAACCAAAUCUACAUUCACCUGAAGGCCAGUGGACGCACAGCACUGAAGACAGGCACAACACGCAGUUAGCUCAUGGUGCACAAGAACGUAAAUGCAUGCAACACUUACCUAUAAACCCCGUCUCUGCAUCAUGACGCAAAUAUGUGUUCAUGCACACGUAAAGCUCCUGUAAAAUUAGCCUAAAAUAUGCCUAUCCCAAAGUAAAAUUAAAGCCGGUCUUGAACCAUUUGUAGUACAUGCAUGAUUUUGGUCUCUUUUGAAAAGUGACACUCUGAAGUGUAAGUGCUACUAGUAUUGAGUAAUAGAAGUUUGAACAUAAUGAAAUAGAAGGGAUUUUUUCCUGCCUGUUUUUUUUUUUUUUUUUUUGCAUACAGAUCCCUGCAGAUGACUACAGCUUGGAGCUAUUAGCUGGAAAACACAAUUGGACCAUUUUGUGUUUUACCAAAACCACCUUUUGGAGACUCCAAAGGGCCCUUGCUAGUCAUGUGCACUUACAGUGGGGAAAUAAGUAUUGAACGCAUCAACAUUUAUUUCAGUAAAUAUAUUUCCAAUGAGGCUAUUCACAUAACAUUUUCACCAGACUUUGGUAUUAACUCAAGAAAUCCACACAUAUAAAGAAAUCCAAAUAUUAAAGUCCACACUAACUGAAAUUUAUUUGAAUACUUAGUGGAGAAGCCUUUGCUUGUAAUGACAGCUUCAAGACGCUUCCUGUAUGAAGAAAUUAAUCAGCCGCAGUAUGUAGGUGUGAUUUUAGCCCAUUCUUCUAAACAUAUGGUCUUUAAAGCUUGUUCAACUGAUUUCAAGUCAGAUGACUGACUGGGCUAUUCAAACACCUUGAUUUUUUUCUCUGAAACCAAUUGAGAGUUUCCUUUGCUGUAUGCUUUGGAUCAUUGUCCUGCUGGAAGGUCCACCCAUGUCUCAUCAUCAUCCUGGUGGAUGGCAACAGAUUCUUCUCAAAAAUCUCCUGGUAAAGGGCUCCAUUCAUCGUUCCUUCAAUUAUAUGAAGUAUUCCAGUACCAUGCAAUGAAAAACAGCCCCACACUGUGAUGCUCCCACCUCCAAACUUCACUGUUGGUAUAGUGUUUUAAGGGUGAUGUGCAGUGCCAUUUCUUCUCCAAACAUGAAAUCUUGCGAGGAGCUCCUGUGCAUGGCCGGUUGAUGACGGAGUGAUGUUGCUUCCACUUGCGGAUAAUGGCCCCAAUGGUGCUUACUGGAAGAUUCAGAAGUUUUGAAAUACAUCUGUAUCCGAUUCCAUCAAUAUGUUUUGCAACAAUAAGGUUGCGAAGGUCUUGGAAGAGCACUUUGCUUUUACCCAUCAUGAGAUGUUUCUUGUGUAACACCUUGGUAACGAAAAGCCUUUUUAUAGACCAUCAAUUUACUAACCCAGCUGAUAUUAAUUUGCACAGAUAGGGGGUAUAAUUAUUUAUGGAUUUCACCUGGUUUCUUGCCUUACCUUGCCUUGGAGAACUGCUUUUUCUUAGCAUGUUCUGUACUUUUUUCCUGUGUCAUUCCACUUUAUUACACAUGACUUUAUGUAUGGACUUUAAUGUUGUGAAUUCUUUAUAUUUCCAGAUUUCUUGAGUUAAUACUGAUGUCUGGUGAAAAUUUCAUGUGAAUAGCCUCAUUGGAAAUAUAUUUACUGAAAAAAAUGUUGACAUGUCCAAUUCUUAUUUCCCUCACUGUAUCACUAGGUUGUCCACUCAUACCAUAGCUGAAAUUUCAGAAAAGUUAAAGCUGAUUAGUCCCUACAUGCUUGUUGAGUUUAGCUGGAAACCAAGAGCAUUAUCAGAAAUUGAUUACUAGAAAGCGACUGAGCUGCACUCAUUUAUGUUGUACUCAGGCCCUGUUGUGCUUCGAGAUACAGUAGCAUUGAAAUAGAGAUGUAUGAUAACUUUUCUGUUGCUAUGCAUUGGCUUUUAUCCUCUGGAACCCCAGAGGUGAUGACUGAUUGUACUCAUGGAUUGCUUGUCUCUUUUGUAUGUCACUUUGGACAGUUGUAUUGUAGACAUGAAAUAGUCUAAAAUAUACAUCAGCUGACUCACCUGGCUGAGGAGUAUCGUCUGUUUGGAUACGAAAUGCAAAUGCAGAGUUACCAAAGCUAAACAAGUGCAAUUUAAUUCAACUACAUUUUGACUUGAAGUCACGGGAGAGCAGUUCAGAAAAGUUGUCACUGAAAAGUACACUUUGUUUGAAGUGCAAGGGGGUAAUUUUAUGCAAAUAGUGGGUGACAUUGCUGCUGUACGAAAUAUCAUUAAGGUAGAUGGGGUAGACAUUUUUGUCCGAUUUCAAAAGUUUAAGCAUCAAGAGUCAUUCUUCUCGUAUCCAUUUGAGUCAUCCAACAUAGCUUGUUAUAAAGUUUGGAAGUUGCAUGACAAUCUUGGUGUGGCCAGGGUACAAGACAUCAAAAUAAAAUAUUUCCUCUGUCCUGAGAACACUGUCUUCAUUGCAAUGCCACUCAUCAAUACGGCCCAAUGAAACAUUUGUUGUUGGCAAAAUGCCUAUGAUAUUGUAAGAACAAGUCAGUUAGUUUUUUUUUUUUUUUUAGAAGAAUUAAGUGUGCUUAACAUAAUCAGUUCCUGCUUUUACAAAUUUGAUGCUUUAUUUUUUCUAUAUCUGCAAGGGAAUUUUUUUUUAAUUAAUAUUCUUGCAUUCUGAGUCCAGUGACUAACCAGCCCUGGUUGCCAUGUACCCCUGCUAGGGACCAUAUUUCAAGGAUAGAGAGGGUAUCUUUUAAUUUACAAAACAAACUCACCUCAGGUUACAGAUUUAAAAGAUCAUUUAUUGUACACACACACACACACACACACACACGUAUGUAUAUAUAUACUCAGCAAAAAAGAAACGUCCCUUUGUCAGAAGACUGUAUUAUUUAUACAUAAUUUUGUAAAAUCCAAAUAAGCUUUACAGAUCUUUAUUGGAAAGGGUUUAAACAAAGUUUUUCAUACUUGUUCAAUGAACCAUAAACUAUUAUUGCACAUGCACCUGUGGAACAGUCCUUAAGACUCUAACAGUUUACAGGUAGUAGGCAAUUAUGGCCACAGUUACAAUAACUUAGGACACUAAAGAGACCUUUCUACUGACUGUGAAAAACACCAAAAGAAAGAUGCCUGGGGUGCCUGCUCACCUGCUUGAACAUGCCAUAGGCCUGCUGCAGGGAGGCAUGAGUACUGCCGAUGUGGCCAGAGCAAUAAACUACAAUACCUAUGACAGUGCUACAGGGAGACAGGAAGGACAGCUGAUUGUCCUUGCAGUGGAAAAUUACA